This is a long non-coding RNA of Parus major (Great Tit), 1623 nucleotides long. RefSeq lists it as uncharacterized. The record is from RefSeq and is a predicted model, not a curated record. NCBI's taxonomy places the organism in Eukaryota, Metazoa, Chordata, Aves, Passeriformes, Paridae. The transcript has 2 exons.
CAUAAAAAUUGAGAAGAAACUCUCAUUGGCCUAGGCAUUUUUAAGAGCUUCAUAAAGAUGAGACUCAGAUUUAUGGUCAGAUAUUCUGAUCUUUUGUCAGACUGUGACCAGCCUCUUAGUCCACAAAAGAGCACUCCAAAGUCAAAUGAAUGUAGCUGCCCAACCUGAGGUGUUUCAAGAGGCCUUGAUUUGGAAAGGAAGACUCCCUGACUGUCAAAACCUGACCCUGGGCCCUGCAUCAAGGUGGGAAACAAGCCAGAAACAUCAGUUCAGCCCUGUAGGACUUGCAGCUUUCCAGAAAUGUGUGAAAACCUCUGCAAAUGCAGGAGAAUUGGGCUCCAGAGAACAUGUUCAUCCCACACUGUGUAUCCACAGUGGCUGACUUUCAAGCCUUGCUGGUGUUGUCUUUGAAGUCAAUGAGAAUUUUGCUAUUGACCUCAGCUGGAAUGAGAUCAGUGGGAACAAGCCCUUAGGUAAAUAUGCUCAGGGACAUUAAUCAAAGGUGUGUUUGUUUCCUUAAUGACUUUUUGGACCUGGCAGAAGAGAGGAUUUCAGAUUUUUUCAAUAGAGUGAGGGCAGCUUUAAGAGUGCAGUUUCAAAAGCCAGACUUUUAAGGUAUUUUGCAAUUGUCUAAGUAGGUGGUAUGUGUGUCUUGCAGCAUUUGGUUUGAAUGCAGAGGUUAUCCCAGAGAUGGGUGUAAAUGUUCCCUGCAUUUCUCUUUUUUGACUUUCUGGUCUCUGUGGUGCUCCAAUUACCCUUCACAGCACUGUUGAUGCAAAGAAAAAGCUGCACCAGCUUUGUUUUGGAUAGAGAUAUUAAACAGUCUUAGCUAAUUUUGUGACAGAUUUUCUUCCAAGCUAAUCUAAAUUAUCUUUGUUUUUAUAUGCUACCAGUCUAUUGUGUGCAUGACAGCAUUUAGUCAUGCCAAAUGAGUGAACCAGGAGUCAAAAUUUUUUUGCUAAUAUCUCAUUAAGAUGAAAUUAGACAUUUUCACUUUUGAAAAUUACCCUAUCUUUUAAUAACAGAAAAAGAAAUUGAGAUGCUUGAAUAAUGUGGGAGGUUUAAGAGGGAAUUUCUACAUGACCUUGAAAAAGCAUUAAUCAUAAGUGCAUACAUUGUGAUAUGGAUUUUAUAGCACAGGCACUGACCAACACACAAAUACCUGUGUACACACGCUCCAGAUUUUUUAUCCUUUUUACCUAACCUCCUCUCUAGAAAAAUGUAAUGACCUUGAGAGAGUAAGGAACAAAAAUGAAACCAUGCUGAAAAACUUUUAUCUUUUUAUUAUUGGUGCCUUUACAUUAAUACUGCUGUUUUGUGCUGAGAAAACCAAUCUGUUACACGUACGGUAACUGUAAUAUACAACAUAGAAAUGCAGUCUAAGUUAAUUACAACAAGGAGCUACAAAAAAAAUUCGUAGGAAAGAAGUCACCUAACAUUGCAACUGUGCUUGCAACAAUCACUCCCUUACUGCAGGACUAUGCACAUUGUGAACCAUGGUUAUUUACAUGUCCCUUACAACCGUUAACAACAGAAGGGCUAAAAUCAGUCUAAAAAGUUCCAGAACGUCACUAUAUACUGUACAAUCCUCAAAAAUAAUUUAUUACACUGUUUCUAAAAAAA